RNAcentral lists this ribosomal RNA (1974 nucleotides) under human gut metagenome. RNAcentral's name for it is "bacterial LSU rRNA". It matches the Rfam family "Bacterial large subunit ribosomal RNA", at positions 3 to 1985 of the family's 2925-position model. The record is from RNAcentral.
UUAAGUUAUUAAGGGCGUAUGGUGGAUGCCUUGGCACUAGGAGCCGAUGAAGGACGUGACUAACUGCGAUAUGCUUCGGGGAGUUGUAAGUAAACUAUGAUCCGGAGAUUUCCGAAUGGGGAAACCUAACAGGUUUUACCGCCUGUUAUCACUAAGUGAAUUCAUAGCUUAGUUGAAGGUAGACGUGGGGAACUGAAACAUCUAAGUACCCACAGGAAGAGAAAGAAAUUCGAUUCCCUCAGUAGCGGCGAGCGAACCGGGAAGAGCCCAAACUAAGAAGCUUGCUUCUUAGGGUUGUAGGACUGAACAUCUGAGUUACCAAGAAAUGAAGUAGUUGAAUAAUCUGGGAAGAUUAGCCAAAGAGAGUGAUAGCCUCGUAAGCGAAACUUUGUUUCCUCAGUUCAGGAUCCUGAGUACGGCGGAACACGUGAAACUCCGUCGGAAUCCGGGAGGACCAUCUCCCAAGGCUAAAUACUACCUAGUGACCGAUAGUGAACCAGUACCGUGAGGGAAAGGUGAAAAGCACCCCGGGAGGGGAGUGAAAUAGUUCCUGAAACCAUAUGCCUACAAGUAGUCAGAGCUCGUUAAUGAGUGAUGGCGUGCCUUUUGUAGAAUGAACCGGCGAGUUACGUUAGCGUGCGAGGUUAAGGAGGAAAGUCCGGAGCCGUAGCGAAAGCGAGUCUGAAUAGGGCGAGAUAGUACGUUGACGUAGACCCGAAACCAGGUGACCUACCCAUGUCCAGGUUGAAGGUGCGGUAAAACGCACUGGAGGACCGAACCCGUGUAUGUUGAAAAAUGCUGGGAUGAGGUGUGGGUAGAGGUGAAAUUCCAAACGAACUUGGAGAUAGCUGGUUCUCUCCGAAAUAGCUUUAGGGCUAGCCUCGGAGUUGAGAAUCGUGGAGGUAGAGCACUGUUUGGACUAGGGGCCCGUCUUGGGUUACUGAAUUCAGAUAAACUCCGAAUGCCACAGAUUUAUAUCCGGGAGUCAGACUGCGAGUGAUAAGAUCCGUAGUCGAAAGGGAAACAGCCCAGACCACCGAUUAAGGUCCCAAAAUAUGUGUUAAGUGGAAAAGGAUGUGGAAUUGCAUAGACAACUAGGAUGUUGGCUUAGAAGCAGCCACCAUUUAAAGAGUGCGUAAUAGCUCACUAGUCGAGUGAUCCUGCGCCGAAAAUGUAACGGGGCUAAACACAUUACCGAAAUCGUGGAUGUACCUUAGGGUACAUGGUAGGAGAGCGUUCUAAGGACGGCGAAGCUAGACCGUAAGGACUGGUGGAGUGCUUAGAAGUGAGAAUGCCGGUAUGAGUAGCGAAAGAUCAGUGAGAAUCUGGUCCACCGUAUGACUAAGGUUUCCUGGGGAAGGCUCGUCCUCCCAGGGUUAGUCGGGACCUAAGCCGAGGCCGAGAGGCGUAGGCGAUGGAUAACAGGUUGAGAUUCCUGUACUGGUUAAACUUGUUUGAACAAUGGAGGGACGCAGGAGGCUAUCGAUGCGUACUGUUGGAUAUGUACGUUCAAGCAACAAGUCUGUAGAUGAGUCAAAUGCUUAUCUACUUAAGGACAAGUUGUGAUGAGGAGCGAAAUUUAGUAGCGAAGUGAGAGACGUCACACUGCCAAGAAAAGCUUCUAGUUAGAGUUUAAUCACCCGUACCGCAAACCGACACAGGUAGUCGAGGCGAGUAGCCUAAGGUGAGCGAGAGAACUCUCGUUAAGGAACUCGGCAAAAUGACCCCGUAACUUCGGGAGAAGGGGUGCUGAGCGCAAGCUCAGCCGCAGUGAAUAGGCCCAGGCGACUGUUUAUCAAAAACACAGGUUUCUGCAAAAUCGUAAGAUGAAGUAUAGGGGCUGACGCCUGCCCGGUGCUGGAAGGUUAAGAGGAUGGGUUAGCGUAAGCGAAGCUCAGAAUUGAAGCCCCAGUAAACGGCGGCCGUAACUAUAACGGUCCUAAGGUAGCGAAAUUCCUUGUCGGGUAAGUUCCG